Molecule: long non-coding RNA, 642 nt
Organism: Ixodes scapularis (black-legged tick)
Lineage: Eukaryota; Metazoa; Arthropoda; Arachnida; Ixodida; Ixodidae
Exons: 3
Source: RefSeq, a predicted model, not a curated record
UGCCUCAAUAAGACCAGGUAUAAAUAUUAAUAGUAAAUUUAAUGAAGAGAUAGAUGCCGAUAACCACCUGCCAAAUUUGACUAAAAAUAAACAGGAACAUCCAAUCUUUAGUUAUAGUUGAACUAAGCGGUUGCUAUGUGGAUGUAUUUUAUGUUCGACAGCUCAGCAAAGUCGACGGACCUGGUUAUACCUCCUGUACGAGACGGAUCACGAAGCGGUUGCUGACUGACCAGUUGGGGCGAAAAUGUUUGUGGGAAGGACGUAAGGGAAGGUUGACAUUCAGAAACCUUCACCUUGCUGAGUGCAUUAUAAAUGCAGUUCAGAGCUGCUGUUAAUGUGAAGACUUCAAGGUAGAAACCGUAGUCACGGACUGGCUUCGCCACACACCUGCCGGACAUCAGUCAUCUCGAAAGGAACGUUCUGCACCACAGGAGAGAGAUCUGAACUGCCUUGAGUGGGCCUUGAAUGUACUGAGCUUUUUAUUGUGUGUAUCAGAAAUGUUUUUAAGCAAAGUAUACUGCAUUGUUCAGUAUGUAUACUUUAUUUCAAAAAGCAUCAUGCUAUGUAUGCAGCAUUGUUCAAAUAUUAUACUUUAUUUAAAAAGCAUCUAGCACUGCUUGUCUGUCUAACAGUAACAAUAAA